Long non-coding RNA from Etheostoma cragini (Arkansas darter), 150 nucleotides. RefSeq lists it as uncharacterized. The transcript has 3 exons. Lineage: Eukaryota; Metazoa; Chordata; Actinopteri; Perciformes; Percidae. The record is from RefSeq and is a predicted model, not a curated record.
CUUGUUAUUUAUUUCCCUGUUGGCCUAAACAUGAUAAAUACUAUUCUCCCGGUUACUGCCUGUUAUUUGCGCAGGCGCUUUAAUCCUUCCUGCCUCAAAUUCCAGACCGCGGUCAGGAGGCACACGGCCGAAGUUGACACUCAGCCUCUU